UUGUCUUUUAAUUAAGGACUGGAAUGAAAGGUUUGACUAUGUAUUUCUGUCUUAUAAUAAUAUUUUGAAAUUUAUAUUUUAGUAAAAAAGCUAAAAUUAUCUAUAGGGACGAGAAGACCCUAUCAAGUUUUACAAUCCAGAAUUUAUUUUCAAAUUAAAUUUUAAAUUGUUUUGCUGGGGCAGCAGGUAAAAAUUUUUUAUUUUAAAAUUAUGAUAAAUAAAUCUUGAAAAAUCAAAAAAUUUUUAAUUAAAAAUAAAUUACUGUAGGGAUAACAGCAUAAUUUUUUUAGAGAGUUCUUAUCAUCAAAAAAGUUUGUGACCUCGAUGUUGGAUUAAAAUUCCUGAUUCGUGCAAUAAUGAAAUAA
RNAcentral lists this ribosomal RNA (365 nucleotides) under Paravaejovis confusus. Its description in RNAcentral is "partial 16S ribosomal RNA". Lineage: Eukaryota; Metazoa; Arthropoda; Arachnida; Scorpiones; Vaejovidae. The record is from RNAcentral.